RNAcentral lists this long non-coding RNA (2278 nucleotides) under Selaginella moellendorffii. Its description in RNAcentral is "long non-coding RNA (SMOE_LNC000024)". Lineage: Eukaryota; Viridiplantae; Streptophyta; Lycopodiopsida; Selaginellales; Selaginellaceae. The record is from RNAcentral.
GCUGACACCUUGUAUACACCACGCAACUGUCAUUUCGCCCAGUCUUUGCUUCCUUCCUCCGUCGCGGAUUCGGUUCUGCCUUGUUGGAACUCGAUACAUCCAACGAAGAAACUUGCAAGGUACGAAGACUUUCACUCCACCAGCACCAGGAUUGAGUUGUAACUGCCUUGCAGAUCCGACGACUCCCCGACAACCGAGACCGCGUAAGACGCCGCUGACGACGUAGAUGAGAACGAACACGACGCGGAAGGCGGCAGUGCGAGCAGAGGCGACGAUGGCGAGAGCCUACCGAGCAUUCGUCUCAAGUUCCUCCACCGGCGCUUGGCCGACAGAGACCCACCAGCCGAGGAAGAAGUCGACGGAGAACUAGACAGCGACUUGGAGGUGGCAUUCUCGUCCAGAUCCAAAACCAGUUGGACCACCUGAACCGAUUGCUGCGGCUGGUGCUGGGAAUCGCUAUCGCCCGACGUAGAACUCGACGAGGAAGAGGAGCUAGAAGAAGAUGGCGAUGGUGUCGACGACGACGAUGAAGGAACUAGAUCCGUGGAAGAAGACGUUGGCGGAGAAGUGGUGGUGGCGACGAGAUUUAGAUCCGGAAGAAGCAGCAGCUCUGGGACGAUGCUCUUGGGACAUCCAGCGGAGUUGGAGCUGGACAGGAGGCUGGCACGGCACAGGGGACAAGUGGAGUGGCAAUGUAGCCACAUAUCUAUACACUCGGUGUGGAAGCUAUGGCCGCAUUUGGGGAGAGUCCGGCCAUGAUCGCCCUCCUGGAACUCGCACAGGCAGACCGCGCAGCAAUCGAGCUUGAUCUUGUCGCUCUCGCGGAAGACGAAGAGGGGGAGCGACUGGAUGAUGGACUUGUCCACGCCUAGCGCCGGGGAAUUGGAGAAGAAGAGGGGGUCCGCGGCCGCCGCCGCCUGGAUCUGCUGCUGGAUGGCUUGGAUCUGCUGGAGGUGGAGGAGGCGGCGGCGGCGCGCGGCGAAUUGGGAGCUCUUCCAGAACCACUUGGCGUAGAGGUGGAGCGAGAGGAUGAAGAGGAUGACCGAGAAGAGGACGACAAUGGCGGCAAUCAUGAUCUUGAUGUUCACCUGGUAGGGAUUGGAGUCGCUGCUGCUGGCGAUGGCGCUGGAGCUGCUGCCGCUGGGAUCCAUUGGCGAUUCAACGCCCAUUUCUCUCUCCCUCUCGAUCGAUCGACCGCCAAAUGGGAGAAAUGGAAGAAUGAGAGAGAUUGGGAGAAAGGAGUCGACCUAAAAUGUCACGACACAGAGCAUUGGGCCAAAAUUGUCAACUGGCAUUUCCAAGGCCUCUCUCGUCCAAGUGUGUUGAUUUCUUCGUCGCGGUGACGGGCGGCCCUUCCAAUGGCCGGCUCGUCUCGCCUGUCUCGCCCGUCGCGCCACCCACCUGACGGGCCCUGACGAGUCAACAUUUCACCGUACGCGCGUGGUUCCCCUGGUGGCCCGGUGGAAAGAGCGCUGGGGUUUUAAAGGCCCACCGGAUCGGCGGGAAUAUGCCCGCGGCACGACGGGCACGUGGACGGGGAAAGCGACGGGCCACACGCGUCCGUACAGGUGGUCAGGCCGUCACACACGAAAGGCGGGUGAAACAGUCAACAUGCAGUUAAUGUUAUUCCUUCCUGGGGGGUGGAAUUUGUAAAAAUGGGUGGGUAACUAGUCAACGUGGAAGAUUGUAGUAGUAUAGAGCUGUGUCAGUGAAAUAAUGUUGGGGUACCAUAUAGCGAGAAAAUGGGACCAUGGCUUUUAUUUCUAUUCCAUUCACUGAUAUGGUUCUACAACGUCUUAGUAGCAGCGAUAUAUUUCAUGAAAUCUAUCAGGGCGAAAGGCCGACAACAGGGAAGACUUUUUGAUCAAAGAGAUAAGAUCUGGAAACCAACGAAACAAAGCAAGCGAGAGAAGCGUUUUAGUCAACAGAAAAAAAAGAUCACGUACUAGUUUGCGCUCCAUUUUUUCUUGAUCCACUGGCUUUACCGAUCCAUCCAGAUCGCCGGCAGGAACUUUUUUCUUCGAUCGAUAUAUACGCACACUUUCGUUGUGCACUGCUCGUUUCCAUCCAUGGCGAAUCUCUCUGUCCAUGCCACAACGUGGUGGAGCAUGGGGAUGCUUUAUGCUGCAGCUUUGGCCCAGUCCACCACCAGGCAAUUGUUUGAGUAGCUUCCUGGAGAAGAGAGGUGACCAAAAGAUUUAAGAAACUACUUACUUUGCUCUUGCUCCAUCAGUCUUCUGCAUUUCUGGAAAGAGAGAUAGCAUGAAGAUUUCGAUUC